UCUGGUGACGAUAGCGAAGUGGACACACCUGUUCCCAUCCCGAACACAGAAGUUAAGCACUUCAACGCUGAUGAUAGUACCACGGUGCGAAAGUAGGAAGUUGCCAGGC
This 109-nucleotide ribosomal RNA is filed under the name Acholeplasmatales bacterium. The record is from RNAcentral. Lineage: Bacteria; Bacillati; Mycoplasmatota; Mollicutes; Acholeplasmatales.